This 256-nucleotide ribosomal RNA is filed under the name uncultured bacterium. RNAcentral describes it as "partial 16S ribosomal RNA". It matches the Rfam family "Bacterial small subunit ribosomal RNA", at positions 521 to 776 of the family's 1533-position model. The record is from RNAcentral.
CAAUACGUAGGGUGCAAGCGUUAAUCGGAAUUACUGGGCGUAAAGCGUGCGCAGGCGGUUUUGUAAGACAGGCGUGAAAUCCCCGGGCUCAACCUGGGAAUGGCGCUUGUGACUGCAAGGCUGGAGUGCGGCAGAGGGGGAUGGAAUUCCGCGUGUAGCAGUGAAAUGCGUAGAUAUGCGGAGGAACACCGAUGGCGAAGGCAAUCCCCUGGGCCUGCACUGACGCUCAUGCACGAAAGCGUGGGGAGCAAACAGG